RNAcentral lists this ribosomal RNA (745 nucleotides) under uncultured Campylobacterota bacterium. RNAcentral describes it as "bacterial SSU rRNA". It matches the Rfam family "Bacterial small subunit ribosomal RNA", at positions 753 to 1501 of the family's 1533-position model. The record is from RNAcentral. Lineage: Bacteria; Pseudomonadati; Campylobacterota.
UCGAAAGCGUGGGGAGCGAAACGGAUUAGAUACCCGUGUAGUCCACGCCCUAAACGAUGAAUACUCGGUGUUCGGAGGUUUCAAAUCCCUCUGAGUGCCUAAGCUAACGCAUUAAGUAUUCCGCCUGGGGACUACGGUCGCAAGAUUAAAACUCAAAGGAAUAGACGGGGAUCUACACAAGCGGUGGAGCAUCUGGUUUAAUUCGACAUUAAGCGGGGAACCUUACCGGGGCUUGACAUCCUGAGAAUCUUCUGGAAACAGAGGAGUGCCGCAAGGAGCUCAGUGACAGGUGCUGCACGGCUGUCGUCAGCUCGUGUCGUGAGAUGUUGGGUUAAGUCCCGCAACGAGCGCAACCCUCGUCCUUAGUUACUAACGGUUCGGCCGAGGACUCUAAGGAGACUGCCUUCGUAAGGAGGAGGAAGGUGAGGACGACGUCAAGUCAUCAUGGCCCUUACGGCUAGGGCGACACACGUGCUACAAUGGAUAGGACAAUGAGACGCAAUACCGUGAGGUGGAGCAAAUCUAUAAACCUAUUCUCAGUUCGGAUUGUAGUCUGCAACUCGACUACAUGAAGCUGGAAUCACUAGUAAUCGUAGAUCAGCCAUGCUACGGUGAAUACGUUCCCGGGUCUUGUACUCACCGCCCGUCACACCAUGGGAGUUGAUUUCACCCGAAGCGGGGAAGCUAAACUGGCUACCCUCCACGGUGGAAUCAGCGACUGGGGUGAAGUCGUAACAAGGUAACC